Long non-coding RNA from Bombus terrestris (buff-tailed bumblebee), 1207 nucleotides. RefSeq lists it as uncharacterized. The record is from RefSeq and is a predicted model, not a curated record. NCBI's taxonomy places the organism in Eukaryota, Metazoa, Arthropoda, Insecta, Hymenoptera, Apidae. The transcript has 2 exons.
UCCGAAGUUGAAGCUGGCGCUUUGUGCGUUCGCGUGACUUUGUCCCCCGGUGGGUCCAUUUGCGUUGAUGGAUCCUGCGGAAGCUGUGGCGAAAGAUCCUGAUGCGCCACCCUGUGUUGGAUACGAUGGAUAAACAGAUGGAUAUUGUCCACAAGAAUAAUCUCUACAGCCUCCUGAUUUGCGAUGAUGCUUGUAGUGAUGUUUAAAGCUACGUUCUCCUUCUUCGAAAUCCGAGUCAGAGUCUGGGUAAUCUCCGUUCAAAAAUCCGAACUGCGGCGAUCGUUGUUCCCUCUUGUUAUCUGCGGUAAAGUAAACCCAUAUAAUCUAACUAGAACACCAAAACUGUACCAAAACGCAUCUAAGAAAACAAGUUUCUUCUUUCGAAGGUAAGUAACUGACCAGAAACCGUGGAUAUCGCUUCUUCGUGUUGCACAGGGCUCAAAGAUUGUGGAUUCUGGAGCACUUUCGCUGGUUUUGCGAGACACGUCUGGCACAUUACCGCGCACAGCACGAACAGCGGGACGAUGCGUGUGGCCAUUUCGAUGAGGUUCAACCGUUCAGACGUUUGACGUGGAAAGAACCGAAUGAUAAUCAUAGGAAGUUGUUGGUGCACGGCGCUUUUAUACGUGAGACCCUUCACUGUCGAAAUUCAAGGAAGAUACCCAUAGUUCCGUAAUUUCCGGAGAUUACCGACGGCGCGGCGCAUUUGUCAUUGGCUCCUAAUGAGUGGACGGCCUUAUGGUACAAGGACAGCCAAAGUGAACUAUAAGAAAGUGCCAGCCACGACUAAGGACGCUAAUCAGCAGCCUAAGUCGGCAGCUUCGGGGCAUUACGUGGCACGAAAGGCGAGAGAAAGAAAUAAACGAGAUAGGUAGAUAGAUAGAUAGAUAGAGAAAGAGGAAUUUGCGAUUGUGGUAAGUAAUAUCGAAAGAGUAGACGACAUAAGUCAAUACUUUCACAAGAUCAUAUUUUAUUCAGUGCCGUUUGGGAACUUUCGGUGUUAAAUCUGUCGCUUAGAUAAUUAGUCGUUCGUCACUUUCAAGGCUUCAGCUUUAGACGUUUUACUCAGAAAACGGAAAUUAUUUUUGCUGCGAUUAUUUUGUUCCGUGUGGAUAUACAUUAUCGUUCAUAAAUAUCCGGAUACUUAACUCAAGUGUUUACAUAAAUAUGUUCUUUUAUUUAUAAUAAUAAUUAAUAUUAAUGAUUA